Mesitornis unicolor (brown roatelo) is the source of this 84-nucleotide microRNA precursor. It matches the Rfam family "mir-221 microRNA precursor family". Lineage: Eukaryota; Metazoa; Chordata; Aves; Mesitornithiformes; Mesitornithidae. The record is from Rfam.
CCCAUCAAUCGCUCAGUAGUCAGUGUAGAUUCUGUUUUUUACAAUCAGCAGCUACAUCUGGCUACUGGGUCUCUGAUGGCAUCU